Molecule: transfer RNA, 71 nt
Filed under: Phrynosoma platyrhinos (Desert horned lizard)
Lineage: Eukaryota; Metazoa; Chordata; Lepidosauria; Squamata; Phrynosomatidae
Description: tRNA-OTHER
Source: RNAcentral
GCCAGUGUGGCGUAGUGGUUUGAGUGUUGGACUGUGAUUCUGGAGAGCAGGGUUCAAAUCCUGGAUUGGCC